Molecule: long non-coding RNA, 398 nt
Filed under: Cottoperca gobio
Lineage: Eukaryota; Metazoa; Chordata; Actinopteri; Perciformes; Bovichtidae
Description: lncRNA (ENSCGOG00000009893.1)
Source: RNAcentral
GCAUAGGUUGUUAAGCGGGGACAGUCCUGCAUGAAAGCUGAGUGAAAACAAAAACCAGUGACUCCAACAGCCCUUCAGUGUCCCUAAGCCAGGGGUUGGGAACCUCCGGCCUCCGGGCCGUGUGCGGCCCCGAGACCAUUUGAUCCGGCCCUCGAGUAAAAAUGUUGGUCCAGGUGAAGUACAGACAAUGGCAGAAUCGUUGAGAGAUUCUGCCUGCCACCUGAUGCAAAAGUUGUAUACAAGGAUGCAACGGAGACAGAAGUCAAUACAGAAAUAUUCAGAGACCUCAUUGGACGAGGCAACGUGGUGCUGACAGUUUUCUCAGGUGAUUGUAAGAUAAAAAGGCCCGUAUAAUCAAAAACCUCACUGAACAGAAUAAAAUGAUCAAUAUAUUUUCU